This 517-nucleotide long non-coding RNA is filed under the name Triticum aestivum (bread wheat). RNAcentral describes it as "long non-coding RNA (TAES_LNC028319)". Lineage: Eukaryota; Viridiplantae; Streptophyta; Magnoliopsida; Poales; Poaceae. The record is from RNAcentral.
AAAUGUACGCUCAAUAUAUAUUCUAACAUGCAUCUUGCACGAAUAUUUUAUUACUGGACACAUCAUUGUACAUUGUUCAACAUGAUGGGGUAGACACAUUCUAGUCAUUGCAUACUAUGCAAUGACAACUCCAAAGGGAAGCGUUGACAGGUACACAAUAAGCUUUCUUGGUGUGAUCUCCCCAGGAAUCUCGGCAGGCAUUCUGGCAACCUAAUUCUAUGCAAAUAAUGCCGGAAUAAGGAACGUGCACUUCACACAUUUCUGUAGACACGAAUAUACAUCAUUAAAACAAGUCCAAAUUGAGAAAGUUCUAAGGAAAUCCAUGCAGUUCAGCUAACAGUACUAGUUUACUCUGGGUGGCAUUGGAAAUGAAUCAUACAUAGGGACAGGGAGAACAAUUUCGUACCAGCAUGAGCAGAAUUUCCUAGCAGCAAAAGCACAAAAAGGCAAAGAAGAAUAGUUUUCCGCUCCAUAAGAUCAAUGCAAGCUUGUUUUUCUUGUUUAUGUUUGGGCGUCC